RNAcentral lists this ribosomal RNA (252 nucleotides) under uncultured bacterium. RNAcentral's name for it is "partial 16S ribosomal RNA". It matches the Rfam family "Bacterial small subunit ribosomal RNA", at positions 524 to 776 of the family's 1533-position model. The record is from RNAcentral.
UACGUGGGUCCCGAGCGUUGUCCGGAUUUAUUGGGCGUAAAGCGAGCGCAGGUGGUUUAUUAAGUCUGGUGUAAAAGGCAGUGGCUCAACCAUUGUAUGCAUUGGAAACUGGUAGACUUGAGUGCAGGAGAGGAGAGUGGAAUUCCAUGUGUAGCGGUGAAAUGCGUAGAUAUAUGGAGGAACACCGGUGGCGAAAGCGGCUCUCUGGCCUGUAACUGACACUGAGGCUCGAAAGCGUGGGGAGCAAACAGG